UGAAAAUGGAUGGCGCUCAAGCGUGUUGCCCAUACCUCGCCGUUUGCUUUGUUAGAGCACAAGCAAACGAGUAGGCGUGCGUGGAGGUCCCGUGACGAAGCCUGUGCAGUGAUGCCGGGUCGAACGGCCUCUAGUGCAGAUCUUGGUGGAAGUAGCAAAUAUUCAAGUGAGAACCUUGAAGACUGAAGUGGGGAAGGGUUCCAUGCAAACAGCAGUUGGACAUGGGUUAGUCGGUCCUAAGCGAUAGGGAAACUCCGUUUCAA
Molecule: ribosomal RNA, 263 nt
Filed under: Helicotheca tamesis
Lineage: Eukaryota; Bacillariophyta; Thalassiosirophyceae; Lithodesmiales; Lithodesmiaceae
Description: partial Eukaryotic large subunit ribosomal RNA
Rfam family: Eukaryotic large subunit ribosomal RNA
Source: RNAcentral